This 513-nucleotide ribosomal RNA is filed under the name uncultured bacterium. RNAcentral describes it as "partial 16S ribosomal RNA". It matches the Rfam family "Bacterial small subunit ribosomal RNA", at positions 28 to 523 of the family's 1533-position model. The record is from RNAcentral.
GAUGAACGCUGGCGGCGUGCCUAAUACAUGCAAGUCGAGCGAACAGACGAGGAGCUUGCUCCUCUAACGUUAGCGGCGGACGGGUGAGUAACACGUGGAUAACCUACCUAUAAGACUGGGAUAACUUCGGGAAACCGGAGCUAAUACCGGAUAAUAUAUUGAACCGCAUGGUUCAAUAGUGAAAGACGGUUUUGCUGUCACUUAUAGAUGGAUCCGCGCCGCAUUAGCUAGUUGGUAAGGUAACAGCUUACCAAGGCAACGAUGCGUAGCCGACCGGCGAGGGCGGUCGGCCACACUGGAACUGGGGCACGGUCCAGACUCCUACGGGAGGCAGCAGUGGGGAAUCUUCCGCAAUGGGCGAAAGCCUGACGGAGCAACGCCGCGUGAGUGAUGAAGGUCUUCGGAUCGUAAAACUCUAUUAUUAGGGAAGAACAAAUGUGUAAGUAACUAUGCACGUCUUGACGGUACCUAAUCAGAAAGCCACGGCUAACUACGUGCCAGCAGCCGCAGUAA